RNAcentral lists this long non-coding RNA (2756 nucleotides) under Mus musculus (house mouse). RNAcentral describes it as "predicted gene, 35340". Lineage: Eukaryota; Metazoa; Chordata; Mammalia; Rodentia; Muridae. The record is from RNAcentral.
CCCACGCCACCUCCCCACCCCCCACCACUCCCACACCCGCCUCGCUCCCAGUCCCCAUUCCUUCCAGUGUUUAGCAUGACAUCACUGAACCUCAGGCACGCUCCGUACACAGGCCACUUUCUUUGCCUGCAGACUUCCAGUGUGAGAUGCUUGGCUCUCCAGCCUUGGGAGCUUCCUGGUGCUCUUCGUUCUUCCAGCUGCAGUUCUUCCUCCUGGACCUCUGCACACUCACCUUGUGCUGUAGACUCCACAGACACUGCUCUUGGCACUUUCUGGAAGCCUUCGGCUGCCUCCUGAAGGACGAGUGAACUGAGGGCGUAGAGCCUCAGGGCUUUCUUUCUCCAGUUGUCUUGUAGCUGCUAUUCCUGGGUGCCCGGAACUGGGAGCUCACUCUAAAGAAACAAGUGGACCACCAAGAAGAGGCCUUUACUGACCCUACACAGGGAUAGGAUUAUAUAGGAGAAGCCCCCUAGAUUAAUCUGUCUACACUGAGAAGUAGUCUGCUCGUCCGAAACAGGACGGGGUGGGGGGGGCGGCUAUAAUGUGGUCAGCAGUGGACUUGAAUGUGCAUAGCUCCCAUUCACACUUCUCUUAAGACUCAUUUAAGAGCCAGCUGGCAGGGCACGCCUUUAAUCCCAAAACUUGGGAGGCAGAAGUGGAGCUCUGCAAGUUCAGGGCCAGCCUGGCCUACAGAGUUAGUUCCAGGACAGCGAGAGCUGUUAUACAAACCCUUUUGCAAACAAACAAACAAAAUAAAAAAACACAGAGAGACAGAAAGACAGACAGACAAAGACUCAUUUAAGGACCAAUCACAAGCCUGGCACUUCACCAGUCAGGCACUUCAGGUGGUUCUUUGUCAAGCUGCUCCUGUGAGCCGGGUCAUCUGAGGUUCUACUGAGGCUUGCCUGGCCUGGACCGGAGUUUCCCAAGGUGCCUGGGGUGGUGGUGACUGAGGUAAGAGUUGUGUCUUGAGAAGCUGCUGUGACCAUUCAAGGACAUCCCCUAAGGCUCCCCUGAGGUCCUAGAGGUAUGGAGGAAUUGUUUGCAUAUCUUGAACAGCCACGGAGAAGAGGUCAGGGGGCUGCACUCUACAUGGCUCUCAGGAGCCCUGGGUUGUGGGCCCCACAAUCCCCAAACCUGUUAUAAGCCCUACUUCUGAAAUCUACCAUCUCUUUGAAGGUCAGAGCCAUGGCUGCAGAUAUGGCUCCUCCCUACCUCCUCUGGAGGCCUGGCUGACUCCGAUCCUCCCUGCCAUUCUGGUAGUAACAGUACAGUACAGCUUCACGAAGCCUUUCUCCGUGAUGCUGCCCAUCAGUCCCAGUGGUACCCACUGAUGGUCCUGAUGCUGUGCCUGGCCCUGAUGCUGUGCCUGGCCCUGAUGCUGUGCCUGGCUCUGAUGCUGUGCCUGGCCCUGAUGCUGUGCUUUGUCCUGAUGCUGUGCCUGACCCACUGUGACCACCUGCUGGACCCUUUGCUCAGAGUCUCUAACUGCUCCUCUGGUUUUCAUCUCCGUUGCUCAUAUCCCACCCCACAGUGUCCUGUCCUCUGCUGCCAGAAAGCUGACAUGGGAGGAGACCAGGCCAAGAGAACCAGGAUACCGCCACACUCCUACGAAUGAGGACAUCCUGUCCCCACAGAUAUGACCUGUUCCCCCUGCACCACUACCCCCCACAACCUGUAUCUAAGGAUCUCCUUCACUUUCGCCUUCACGACCCAGUCAAGGUGUCAAGUAGUUCAUAGGAUCUCGCUCUCAGUAGAGCUCAACGUUUGAAGCGUUUGUUAGAGAACGGAUCAAUGCUGAGCCGACCACUGACCCUUUACCACCACGGAUUCACUUGGCUUUCAAAAUCCAAGGCUGCAGGCUGGAGUCAGCUCUUCAGACUUGACUUACCCACCAGGGACAAAGCUCUCAAUAUUCCAUAUCCAAGCUGUGGUAGCUCCAUAGCAGGUGGCGGCCCUUGGGGAUCUCCUUUGUGUUACAGCCUCACCUGAGAAUGGGGUGGGUACCACAGCACCCGUGGUUUACACCGGAGAUGGAUGAAGAAGGUCCUACAGGGAACUCUGAGUGGUAAAGUCCACGGACGGUUGUGGCAGAGAAGGAGCUAUUUCGAGGUUCGUUCUACACGAUGCUGCUCAGGGAAAUGAGAGUAGCCAUGGCCCUGCAGGGUACUCGGUGUUGGGGUCUCCUGACACUGACUUUGGUUGCAUAUUCUUGGGAAGAGGAGGCUAAUGAGCCCUAACAGAAGACAAAGACACCACACACCCUCAACAGCAUGCACAGAGUUGUCUUGUUGCUUAAAUAUUAGAAUAGGGAGUGCCGAUACCACCCCGCACUGCCACAAAGCUGUGGGUGCAACCCCCAGGGUCUACUCUACUCCAUCGGUCCGAGAGUGUUUGGUGAAAAUGUGGGCUGUGAUAAGUGGAUAUUAACCCAGAAACUUAGACUACCCAAGAUACAAUUUGCAAAACACAUGAAACUCAAGGAGAAGGAAGACCAAAGUGUGUAUACUUCGUUCCUUCUUAGAAUGGGGAACAAAAUACCCAUGAAAGGAGUUACAAAGACAAAGUUCGGAGCUAAGACAGAAGAAAGGACCAUCCAGAGACUGCCUCACUCGGGGAUCCAUCCCGUAUACAACCACCAAACCCAGACACUAAUGCAUAUGCCAGCAAGAUUUUGCUGACAGGACCCUGAUAUAGCUAUCUCUUGUGAGGCUAUGCCAGUGCCUGGCAAAUACAUAAGUGGAUGCUCACAGUCA